CUGAUUCCAAUUACAAGUCCACCACAUGCUCCCUGCAUGCACUGAGGAGGUAAUCAACCUUCCUGAGCCUCUGUUGCUUCAUCUCUAGAAGAGUCCUCGUAAUACCUGCCGGUCUAGUAUGCAUCCCACCGAAUCACAACCUCCUAUCGUUGCCUUGUCAUCAAGUCUUUGAGGGAUUGUGGAUCAGGGAUGGAAGGAGCGAAGGAGUGACAGACUCGUUGGUAAUACAGAAUGGUAAUUCAUUGUCUCAGUUGAUCUAUAAUGUUAAUCAAAUGCUUCAGGACAGAGCUUAAUUAUUGAAUUUUGGUGACUGGUGUAAAGAGCUCCUGUGUGCCACCUGCAGCCAUGACACUAGAGGCUUCUGAUUGGCUGAAGUCACCCGGGACUAGUGGUUAAAAU
Molecule: long non-coding RNA, 399 nt
Organism: Herpailurus yagouaroundi (jaguarundi)
Lineage: Eukaryota; Metazoa; Chordata; Mammalia; Carnivora; Felidae
Exons: 3
Source: RefSeq, a predicted model, not a curated record